GCUAUGAAGAUACGAUGACGAGAAUGACGGUUUUCUUCGAUUUGGGUACCAAAGUUCUUUUGGUAUUUGAUGAGAAGCGACCUCAACGUGAUUCUAAAUGAGGCAUUUGACAGAGCA
Tetrahymena thermophila SB210 is the source of this 117-nucleotide small nucleolar RNA. It matches the Rfam family "Tetrahymena snoRNA TtnuCD10". The record is from Rfam. Lineage: Eukaryota; Ciliophora; Oligohymenophorea; Hymenostomatida; Tetrahymenidae.